This is a long non-coding RNA of Poecilia reticulata (guppy), 499 nucleotides long. RefSeq lists it as uncharacterized. The record is from RefSeq and is a predicted model, not a curated record. Lineage: Eukaryota; Metazoa; Chordata; Actinopteri; Cyprinodontiformes; Poeciliidae.
AAACGUCCUCGAUCCGAUACUCCACCAUGUCCUUAGAAGCAAGAACUCUUGUCAAGAUACAGACGUGAGAGGGAAGACGCAAAUCCCAGGCUGAACAAUAUCAGUGAGGAUGAACAUAGGCAAUUUAAAAAAAAAAUGCGUCCAUCUUGGCGCAGUGAUACCAGACAGAAUGGAUCAGAGAGAAACACACAGACGCAGAGCCGUCAGAACCUAAAGAACCACACGUCAGCGACAUGGUCUCUCCUGCAGGCUGAUAUGAGAGCUACGCUUGAGAACGGUGACCUGCUGAUGCCCCAGAACAGAUCCUGUGUGCCUGGAUCACAGAGUCAUAUACCUCGGUUGCUGUGGGGGAAAUGGUAAACCUGGAAGCCAAGCUCAUCUUACUAUUUAUGACUCAAAGCCUCCUCUGGAUUGCAAGGGGGAUGUGAUGCAUAAACCUGCCCAGUGGAAUGCGUCACAUUAAAAUAAAUGAAUCCUUCCAUUUCAUGGGGAAAUCUCA